AGGAUUAUAUUUAAUUAUAAUAUUUAAUUUGCAGUUAAAAGGUGUUUAUCAAAACUAAUCUUU
RNAcentral lists this transfer RNA (63 nucleotides) under Evacanthus danmainus. RNAcentral describes it as "tRNA-Ala". Lineage: Eukaryota; Metazoa; Arthropoda; Insecta; Hemiptera; Cicadellidae. The record is from RNAcentral.